UGCCUGGUCAAAACUGAACACGAAUCUUCAUGCCUUGAGAUGCAGCAAUGGAAAAUCAAUCUGAGUGUCAUUAAGAGGAUAUCCCCUGAAGAUGGCUGGAAACGGUGGAUUUGUCACCCAACUUUCUUCCCUUCACUGAUCAAUUGGAAUUUCUUCCACGGGCCUGAGCCCCAGUGUUAUCUCACUGUCUGAAUCCAGGCAGGCCUUGCACUGACUUGCCAAGUUUCCAUCACUUUGUCUUCCUGUCAUUGGCUGAUCUGAUCUCUGCACUGAUUAAUUAGUUUCAAAUCCCUUCCUAUUGAUCUAGUAAAAUUGACUUCUUGAAUUCGUGAUGGGAAAUUCUGAGAGUGUUUCAUUUAGACUCUGAGGGGCAUCUUUUUUUAAUGUCCUGUCAGAGACUUCCCCUGGGAUCGAGUCGUUGUCCACUGUGCAGUCUCCUGAACCACACAGAACAAAUGCGGAACUGGCGGAGGUCCUCUCCCUGCUGCUGAGUCUGGGUGCUUUUACAGCAAGCACUUCUGCCUAUUCAUGGGGCAGGUUUCUGUAUCCUCUCACCAAAGGCACCUUGGACCACUGUCUUUCUACCUCUCGAGAUUCUCUGAGCUGCAUCUAAGCAUCACAGCUUAGCCUUUCAGGGUGGGGCCUGCUUGCCAUCCACCCAUGUCAUCUGGGGCCAGAACAGAGCCGCUUCCCCCGCCCCAGUGGUACGCUGCUUGAUUUAUACGUAUCUUCUUUUUCUUUCUACUGGCUGUGAUCCCCCCUCUCCGUGCAGGAAGGGCUGGAGUAAAAGUCCGAAAGUUGAAUAUUCUCUGUUCUGUCACAAAGAGAAAUGAGCAGAAACACAUGGCCUUAAAGGUUAGGAGAGAAUUCCGUUGAGAGCCAGUCCCAACCUGGAUGCAGGACUGAUUCAUGGCACUCAGCAAGAUGCCUUUCGGGGUGUGGUCACUCACUGGCUGGAAUUAAAUCCUAAUACCUGCUUUCCCAGUCAGCAGCCACCACGAUGCAGGGAGCUUGUUUAUUUAACGUGAUCAGACCACUGUGUCCAGCUAAUCUCCACUUGCCUAUCUCCUCUAAGAUAGC
This 1080-nucleotide long non-coding RNA is filed under the name Bos indicus x Bos taurus (hybrid cattle). Its description in RNAcentral is "lncRNA (ENSBIXG00000002307.1)". The record is from RNAcentral. Lineage: Eukaryota; Metazoa; Chordata; Mammalia; Artiodactyla; Bovidae.